This 461-nucleotide ribosomal RNA is filed under the name uncultured bacterium. Its description in RNAcentral is "bacterial SSU rRNA". It matches the Rfam family "Bacterial small subunit ribosomal RNA", at positions 28 to 507 of the family's 1533-position model. The record is from RNAcentral.
GAUGAACGCUGGCGGCGUGCUUAAUACAUGCAAGUCGAACGGAGUAUGUAGCAAUACGUACUUAGUGGCGAACGGGUGAGUAACGCGUUGGUGACCUGCCUCGAAGAGAGGGAUAACAGUCCGAAAGGACUGCUAAUACCUCAUGUGAUCAAAGGGUUUAGAAGCCUUUGAUUAAAGGAGUAAUUCACUUCGAGAGGGACCUGCGUACCAUCAGCUAGUUGGUGAGGUAAUGGCCCACCAAGGCGAUGACGGUUAGGGGACCUGAGAGGGUGGCCCCCCCACAAUGGAACUGAAACACGGUCCAUACACCUACGGGUGGCAGCAGUAGGGAAUAUUAGUUAAUGUGCGAAAGCGCGAACUAGCAACGCCGCGUGUGCGAUGAAGGCCUUCGGGUCGUAAAGCACUUUUACAAGGGACGAGGAAGGACGGUACCUUGUGAAUAAGCAUCGGCUAACUCCGUG